Molecule: ribosomal RNA, 1528 nt
Filed under: Enterobacter cloacae
Lineage: Bacteria; Pseudomonadati; Pseudomonadota; Gammaproteobacteria; Enterobacterales; Enterobacteriaceae
Description: bacterial SSU rRNA
Rfam family: Bacterial small subunit ribosomal RNA
Source: RNAcentral
AGAGUUUGAUCAUGGCUCAGAUUGAACGCUGGCGGCAGGCCUAACACAUGCAAGUCGAACGGUAGCACAGAGAGCUUGCUCUCGGGUGACGAGUGGCGGACGGGUGAGUAAUGUCUGGGAAACUGCCUGAUGGAGGGGGAUAACUACUGGAAACGGUAGCUAAUACCGCAUAACGUCGCAAGACCAAAGAGGGGGACCUUCGGGCCUCUUGCCAUCAGAUGUGCCCAGAUGGGAUUAGCUAGUAGGUGGGGUAACGGCUCACCUAGGCGACGAUCCCUAGCUGGUCUGAGAGGAUGACCAGCCACACUGGAACUGAGACACGGUCCAGACUCCUACGGGAGGCAGCAGUGGGGAAUAUUGCACAAUGGGCGCAAGCCUGAUGCAGCCAUGCCGCGUGUAUGAAGAAGGCCUUCGGGUUGUAAAGUACUUUCAGCGGGGAGGAAGGUGUUGUGGUUAAUAACCACAGCAAUUGACGUUACCCGCAGAAGAAGCACCGGCUAACUCCGUGCCAGCAGCCGCGGUAAUACGGAGGGUGCAAGCGUUAAUCGGAAUUACUGGGCGUAAAGCGCACGCAGGCGGUCUGUCAAGUCGGAUGUGAAAUCCCCGGGCUCAACCUGGGAACUGCAUUCGAAACUGGCAGGCUAGAGUCUUGUAGAGGGGGGUAGAAUUCCAGGUGUAGCGGUGAAAUGCGUAGAGAUCUGGAGGAAUACCGGUGGCGAAGGCGGCCCCCUGGACAAAGACUGACGCUCAGGUGCGAAAGCGUGGGGAGCAAACAGGAUUAGAUACCCUGGUAGUCCACGCCGUAAACGAUGUCGAUUUGGAGGUUGUGCCCUUGAGGCGUGGCUUCCGGAGCUAACGCGUUAAAUCGACCGCCUGGGGAGUACGGCCGCAAGGUUAAAACUCAAAUGAAUUGACGGGGGCCCGCACAAGCGGUGGAGCAUGUGGUUUAAUUCGAUGCAACGCGAAGAACCUUACCUGGUCUUGACAUCCACAGAACUUUCCAGAGAUGGAUUGGUGCCUUCGGGAACUGUGAGACAGGUGCUGCAUGGCUGUCGUCAGCUCGUGUUGUGAAAUGUUGGGUUAAGUCCCGCAACGAGCGCAACCCUUAUCCUUUGUUGCCAGCGGUUAGGCCGGGAACUCAAAGGAGACUGCCAGUGAUAAACUGGAGGAAGGUGGGGAUGACGUCAAGUCAUCAUGGCCCUUACGACCAGGGCUACACACGUGCUACAAUGGCGCAUACAAAGAGAAGCGACCUCGCGAGAGCAAGCGGACCUCAUAAAGUGCGUCGUAGUCCGGAUUGGAGUCUGCAACUCGACUCCAUGAAGUCGGAAUCGCUAGUAAUCGUAGAUCAGAAUGCUACGGUGAAUACGUUCCCGGGCCUUGUACACACCGCCCGUCACACCAUGGGAGUGGGUUGCAAAAGAAGUAGGUAGCUUAACCUUCGGGAGGGCGCUUACCACUUUGUGAUUCAUGACUGGGGUGAAGUCGUAACAAGGUAACCGUAGGGGAACCUGCGGUUGGAUCACCU